This 253-nucleotide ribosomal RNA is filed under the name uncultured bacterium. RNAcentral describes it as "partial 16S ribosomal RNA". It matches the Rfam family "Bacterial small subunit ribosomal RNA", at positions 524 to 776 of the family's 1533-position model. The record is from RNAcentral.
GACGAACCGUGCGAACGUUGUUCGGAUUCACUGGGCUUAAAGGGCGCGUAGGCGGGCUGCCAAGUCCGGGGUGAAAGCCCCCAGCUUAACUGGGGAAGUGCCUUGGAUACUGGUGGUCUUGAGGAGGGUAGGGGCGUCUGGAACGGUCGGUGGAGCGGUGAAAUGCGUUGAUAUCGACCGGAACUCCGGUGGCGAAGGCGAGGCGCUGGACCCUUUCUGACGCUGAGGCGCGAAAGCCAGGGGAGCAAACGGG